This 1518-nucleotide long non-coding RNA is filed under the name Vigna radiata. RNAcentral describes it as "long non-coding RNA (VRAD_LNC017693)". Lineage: Eukaryota; Viridiplantae; Streptophyta; Magnoliopsida; Fabales; Fabaceae. The record is from RNAcentral.
UUUCGGGAUUUUAAGUGUGUAUUGCAUCCCUAAAUGUCAAAAACCAAGACUUUCAAAAAUUUCCAAAUCUUGGUACCAAACAAUAACCUAGCCAAGUCUCAAAAUCAAACUAGGUUUGCUUAAAAAGAGACCAAAUUGAAAAUCUUCUUGCACCUAGAUUUUGACACCAGUAAUCAUUUAGGGAUUUAAAGAGUGCAUUGCAGUCCCUAUGUCUCAAAAACCAAGACUUUCAAAAAAUUUCAAAUCUUGGCACCAAGCACCAACUUAGCCAAGUCUCGUCACCAAACUUGACUUCCUUGAGAACCAACGAAAUUUAAAAAUUUCUUGCACCUAUAUUUGAAAACUAGUCGACACUUGGGGAUAAAAAGAGUGUAAAUCAGCACCGAAGUUAAAAAAACAAAGGAUUUGAAAAAAAUCUCAUAUCUUUGCACCAAGCACCAAUAAUGCCAAAUCUCACCACCAAACAUGGCAUUCUUCAAAAUAAACCAAAUUGAAAAAUUUCGUGCACCUAUUUUUUUUCUCUAGUCAUCUUUUCGGGAUUUAAAGUGUGCAUUACAUCCCUAAAUGUCAAUAACCAAGACUUUCAAAAAUUUCCAAAUCUUGGCACCAGACAAUAACCUAGGCAAGGCUCGAAAUCAAACUAGGUUUCCUUGAAAACCAACCAAAUUGAAAAUCUUCUUGCACCUAGAUUUUGACACCAGUAAGCAUUUGGGGAUUUAAAGAGUGCAUUGCAGUCCCUAAGUCUCAAAAACAAAGACUUUCAAAAAAUUUCAACUCUUGGCACCAAGUACCAACUUAGCCAAAUCUCAUCACGAAACUUGGCUUGCUUGAAAACCAACCAAAUUGAAAAUUUUCUGGCACCUAUUUUUUGUCACGAGUCGUCAUUUCGAGAUUAAAAGUGUGCAUUGCAUCCCUAAAUGUCAAAAACAAAGACUUUCAAAAAUUUCCAAAUCUUGGUACCAAAAUCUUCCCAAGUCUCAAAACCAAACUAGGUUUGCUUGAAAACAAACCAAAUUGAAAAUCUUCUUGCACCUAGAUUUUGACACUAGUAAACAUUUGGGGAUUUAAAAGUGCAUUGCAGUCCCUAUGUCUCAAAAACCAAGACUUUCAAAAAUUUUCAAAUCUUGGCACCAAAAACCAACUUAGCCAACUCUCAUCACCAAAGUUGGCUUGCUUCAAAACCAACCAAAUGGAAAAUUUUCUUGCCCCUAUUUUUUGUCACCAGUCGUCAUUUUGGGAUUAAAAGUGUGCAUUGCAUCCCUAAAUGAUAAAAACCAAGACUUUUAAAAAUUUCCAAAUCUUGGCACCAAACAAAAACCUAGCCAAGUCUCAAAACCAAACUAGGUUUGCUUGAAAACCAACAAAAUUGAAAAUCUUCUUGCACCUAGAUUUUGACACCAGUAAUCAUUUAGGGAUUUAAAGAGUGCAUUGCAGUCCCUAAGUAUCAAAAACCAAAACUUUCAAAAAUUUUCAAAUCUUGACAUUUAGGGAUGCAAUACACACUUAAAAUCCCGAAAU